Molecule: ribosomal RNA, 513 nt
Filed under: uncultured bacterium
Lineage: Bacteria
Description: partial 16S ribosomal RNA
Rfam family: Bacterial small subunit ribosomal RNA
Source: RNAcentral
GAUGAACGCUGGCGGCGUGCCUAAUACAUGCAAGUCGAGCGAACGGAUAAGGAGCUUGCUCCUUUGAAGUUAGCGGCGGACGGGUGAGUAACACGUGGGUGACCUACCUAUAAGACUGGAAUAACUUCGGGAAACCGGAGCUAAUGCCGGAUAACAUUUGGAACUGCAUGGUUCUAAAGUAAAAGAUGGUUUUGCUAUCACUUAUAGAUGGACCCGCGCCGUAUUAGCUAGUUGGUAAGGUAACGGCUUACCAAGGCAACGAUACGUAGCCGACCUGAGAGGGUGAUCGGCCACACGGGAACUGAGACACGGUCCAGACUCCUACGGGAGGCAGCAGUAGGGAAUCUUCCGCAAUGGACGAAAGUCUGACGGAGCAACGCCGCGUGAGUGAUGAAGGUUUUCGGAUCGUAAAACUCUGUUAUUAGGGAAGAACAAAUGUGUAAGUAACUGUGCACAUCUUGACGGUACCUAAUCAGAAAGCCACGGCUAACUACGUGCCAGCAGCCGCCGUAA